CCCAGAUGGCACUGGUCAAUCUCCAAGCCAUUCCCUUGCUUGUCCAUCUUCAAUAUCACCUGCAGUUAGACAUCUCUGAGAGGCUGACACUGAGCAGACCAGACAAGCUGAUUCAGGGUUUAGCCACAUCAGAGUACCUAUGUGUGCCCGCGUGGGGUUAAUUGCUUUGCUCCAGAAUACAACAGCAGCUGAGUCGGGCCGAAGAUGGUGAAGUACAGCUAGCAACACCCCCUGAACAUCCUGUGUUGUGUCCAGAAUAGCACAGCAAUGCAAAAUACCCUAGAAUGUAUUAUUACGAUGUUAUAAUUGAUAUUAAAGUUCUAUCAAAAACUGAA
Molecule: long non-coding RNA, 335 nt
Organism: Pygocentrus nattereri (red-bellied piranha)
Lineage: Eukaryota; Metazoa; Chordata; Actinopteri; Characiformes; Serrasalmidae
Exons: 2
Source: RefSeq, a predicted model, not a curated record